This 63-nucleotide transfer RNA is filed under the name Cerophytidae sp. BMNH 900085. RNAcentral's name for it is "tRNA-Ala". The record is from RNAcentral. Lineage: Eukaryota; Metazoa; Arthropoda; Insecta; Coleoptera; Cerophytidae.
UGGAUAAUAGUUAAUUAAACAUUUAAUUUGCAUUUAAAAAAUAUUAUAUAAUAAUUUAUCUAA